GAUGAAGAACGUAGCGAAAUGCGAUAAGUAGUGUGAAUUGCAGAAUUCAGUGAAUCAUCGAAUCUUUGAACGCACAUUGCGCCCCCUGGCAUUCCGGGGGGCAUGCCUGUUCGAGCGUCUCCAGGACGAAUCCUCGCGCGAGUGAACGCGCGGUCGUGGCGGAGGUGGCGUGCCCGAGCAGGGCGGCCACCGCGCUGGAAUCCAUGGGCGGACGCCUGCCGCGUGGCCGAGCGUGAUAUGACGCAUUGGCGCUCGUGCGCGGCGAGGCUGCCAGCCCUGGCCCGUCUGUCGGGCGGGGUAGAUCAACACGUGGGAACUCCUCGAAUCAGGUAGGGAUACCCGCUGAACUUAAGCAUAUCAAUAAGCGGAGGA
Molecule: unclassified non-coding RNA, 372 nt
Filed under: soil metagenome
Description: partial contains 5.8S ribosomal RNA, internal transcribed spacer 2, and large subunit ribosomal RNA
Rfam family: 5.8S ribosomal RNA (bases 1-120)
Source: RNAcentral